AUAAUACUCCCUCCGUUCCGAAUUACUUGUCUUAGAUUUGUCUAGAUACGGAUGUAUGUAGCACUAAAAUCUAGAUACAUCCGUAUCUACCCAAAUCCAAGACAAGUAGUUUGGAAUGGAGGGAGUACACA
Molecule: non-coding RNA, 131 nt
Organism: Triticum aestivum (bread wheat)
Lineage: Eukaryota; Viridiplantae; Streptophyta; Magnoliopsida; Poales; Poaceae
Source: Rfam